UUUUUUAUUUUUUUAAAUAACUUUUUAUUGAUAGAACAUAUGCCAGGGUAAUUUUUUACAGCAUUAUCCCUUGCAUUCACUUCUGUUCCAAUUUUUCCCCUCCCUCCCUCCACCCCUUCCCCCAGAUGGCAAACAGUCCUUUACAUGUUGAAUGGGUUACAGUAUAUCCUAGAUACAAUAUAUGUGUGCAGAACUGAACAGUUUUCUUGUUGCACAGGGAGAAUUGAAUUCAGAAGGUGUAAAUAACCCGGGAAGAAAAACAAAAAUGCAAGCAGUUUAUAUUCAUUUCCCAGUGUUCUUUCUCUGGGUAUAGCUGCUUCUGUCCAUCUUUGAUCAAUCUCUUUAUCGAAGAGAUCCACUUCCAUCAGAAUACAUCCUCAAACAGUAUCGUUGUUGAGGUAUAUAAUGAUCUCCUGGUUCUGCUCAUUUCACUUAGCAUCAAUUCAUGUAAGUCUCGCCAGUCCUCUCUGUAUUCAUUCUGCUGGUCAUUCCUUACAGAACAAUAAUAUUCCAUAACAUUCAUAUUACAUAAUUUACUCAACCAUUCUCCAAUUGAUGGACAUCCUUUCGUUUUCCAGCUUCUAGCCACUACAAACAGGGCUGCCACAAACAUUUUGGCAUAUACAGGUCCCUUUCCUUUCUUUAGUAUCUCUUUGGGGUAUAAUUGUAGAAACACUGCUGGAUCAAAGGGUAUGCACAGUUUGAUAACUUUUUGAGCAUAGUUCCAAAUUGCUCUCCAGAAUGGCUGGAUGUGUUCACAAUUCCACCAACAAUGUAUCAGUGUCCCUGUUUUCCCACAUCCCCCCCAACAUUCCUCAUUACCUUUCCCUGUCAUUCUAGCCAAUCUGACAGGUGUGUAGUGGUAUCUCAGAGUUGUCUUAAUUUGCAUUUCUCUGAUUAAUAAUGAUUUGGAGCAUAUUUUCAUAUGUCUAUAAAUAGUUUCAAUUUCUUCGUCUGAGAAUUGUCUGUUCAUAUCCUUUGACCAUUUAUCAAUUGGAGAAUGGUUUGAUUUCUUAUAGAUUAGAGUCAAUUCUCUAUAUAUUUUGGAAAUGAGGCCUUUAUCAGAACCUUUGAUUAUCAAAAAUGUUUUCCCAGUUUAUUGUUUCCCUUCUAAUCUUGUCUGCAUUUGUUUUGUUUGUACAAAAACUUUUCAAUUUGAUAUAAUCAAAAUUUUCUAUAUUGUGGUCAAUAGUGAUCUCUAGUUCUUCUUUGGUCAUAAAUUCCUCCCUCUUCCACAGGUCUGUGAGGUAAACUAUCCUAUGCUCUUCCAAUUUAUUUAUAAUCUCAUUCUUUAUGCCUAGGUCAUGAACCCAUUUUGACCUUAUCUUGGUAUACGGUGUUAAGUGUGGGUCAAUGCCUAGUUUCUGCCAUACUAAUUUCCAAUUUUCCCAGCAAUUUUUGUCAAAUAAUGUGUUCUUAUCCCCAAAACUGGGGUCUUUGAGUUUGUCAAACACUAGAUUAUUAAAGUUUUUGGCUGUUUUGUCCUUUGAACCUAA
This is a long non-coding RNA of Antechinus flavipes (yellow-footed antechinus), 1496 nucleotides long. RefSeq lists it as uncharacterized. Lineage: Eukaryota; Metazoa; Chordata; Mammalia; Dasyuromorphia; Dasyuridae. The transcript is spliced from 2 exons. The record is from RefSeq and is a predicted model, not a curated record.